AUUGAACGCUGGCGGCAUGCUUUACACAUGCAAGUCGAACGGCAGCGCGGGCUUCGGCCUGGCGGCGAGUGGCGAACGGGUGAGUAAUACAUCGGAACGUGCCCAGUAGUGGGGGAUAGAUCGGCGAAAGCCGGAUUAAUACCGCAUACGACCUGAGGGUGAAAGCGGGGGAUCUUCGGACCUCGCGCUAUUGGAGCGGCCGAUGGCAGAUUAGCUAGUUGGUGGGGUAAAGGCCUACCAAGGCGACGAUCUGUAGCUGGUCUGAGAGGACGACCAGCCACACUGGGACUGAGACACGGCCCCGACUCCUACGGGAGGCAGCAGUGGGGAAUUUUGGACAAUGGGCGAAAGCGUGAUCCAGCAAUGCCGCGUGUGUGAUGAAGGCCUUCGGGUUGUAAAGCACUUUUGGCGGGAACGAAAAGGACUGUGCCAAUACCACGGUUCGAUGACGGUACCCGCAGAAUAAGCACCGGCUAACUACGUG
This 484-nucleotide ribosomal RNA is filed under the name uncultured bacterium. RNAcentral describes it as "partial 16S ribosomal RNA". It matches the Rfam family "Bacterial small subunit ribosomal RNA", at positions 29 to 507 of the family's 1533-position model. The record is from RNAcentral.